RNAcentral lists this long non-coding RNA (243 nucleotides) under Physcomitrium patens. RNAcentral's name for it is "long non-coding RNA (PPAT_LNC005929)". Lineage: Eukaryota; Viridiplantae; Streptophyta; Bryopsida; Funariales; Funariaceae. The record is from RNAcentral.
UCGGAGAGCUAGCUUCAUGCUUCGGAAAGGGGAAAAAAGACAGAGAAUUGGAUUUUUUUUCUUCAUAGGGUUUUGGGAAGACUGAGGCAAUCGUUGCUGAAGUCAGUGUUGUAAUGGUGAAUCAAGAUUUUUAAUGAAGUGGGUGUGAUUACUCUUGACUGUUUUGUUAAAUCGAAGUUACGACUAUAAUUGGAGAAUUAAAAGGGUGUCUAUAGGAUUGAGUAUGCGGAGUGAAUGAAAUUU